Long non-coding RNA from Sinocyclocheilus anshuiensis, 83 nucleotides. RefSeq lists it as uncharacterized. Lineage: Eukaryota; Metazoa; Chordata; Actinopteri; Cypriniformes; Cyprinidae. The transcript is spliced from 3 exons. The record is from RefSeq and is a predicted model, not a curated record.
AUUUAACAGAUUACAUUUUCAAUAAAACAUCUGCAAUUGGUUUGUAAAGGGUGUUUUUUAUGCAUGUUUAAUCUGAAUUUUCA